Molecule: long non-coding RNA, 829 nt
Organism: Varanus komodoensis (Komodo dragon)
Lineage: Eukaryota; Metazoa; Chordata; Lepidosauria; Squamata; Varanidae
Exons: 3
Source: RefSeq, a predicted model, not a curated record
UUUUUGCUUGCAGCUGUCUGCUCCUCUUCCGCAAGAGCAUCACGUUAAUUCCAACCUGCGAGAGGACAUGCCGAUCAGAUUUUCCCACCCUCCUAUCAAGAUCGCCAGCCUGGCUUCUAGGAGGGAGUUAGAGCGUGUGCGGAAACUUUGUUUGCGGAGUCUGUUUCCAGCCCAGAGUGGGACCUCACAGUACGCAGUCCCCCCAUCCUGAGUUCUUUGGACGAAGGAGCCAAGAUUCUAAGCCAAGCGGGCUCCGAAGAGUGGCGAUUUCCACUAUAACUCUUGUGUUUUCUUACUGCCUCGUUACUUCUGGCCAUGGAAAAUCUGGCCUUGCAAGCAUCCAGAGCCUGUUGGAAAUGGGCCAAGCACUGCGCCAUCUCCUUUAGAUCCAAUUCCAAGGAAUUCCUCGCCAGAAAUGCUUUCAGCACCUCCCUGCCCUACAGGCUCAUGGGAAUCACUGGCUGUCGAUUGCUGCCAGCAAUUGGGCCUGGCAUGUCAGAUACGUCAGGACACACUCCCAAGAACAUACAGUGAAAGGAAGUGUUCUGGGCCUACGUGAAGUGCAUCUCUUUAAUCUCCAGCUAAUUCCAGCCAGUUCCGACACAUCUCAGCAGAUCUGACGGCACUUACAAAUCCAUUGGACAAGGUUGCAGCUGGGAUUGUGCUGAUCCAAACGGACUUCCUUAGCCUGGCGUGUUGGACCCGAAUUCUUGGCACACUCCAGCCGAGUGGGAGUUUGAGGAGCUUGAAAACGACCCUGUUUAGGGGAAUAGAGCAAACUGGCUAUCGUGGCAAAAGCAAAGGCAAAUGUCCCAUUUAUACAGGCUGC